RNAcentral lists this ribosomal RNA (253 nucleotides) under uncultured bacterium. RNAcentral describes it as "partial 16S ribosomal RNA". It matches the Rfam family "Bacterial small subunit ribosomal RNA", at positions 524 to 776 of the family's 1533-position model. The record is from RNAcentral.
UACAGGGGGUGCAAACGUUGCUCGGAAUCAUUGGGCGUAAAGGGCGCGCAGGCGGCCGCUCAAGUCAGAUGUGAAAGCCCCGGGCUCAACCUGGGAACUGCAUUUGAUACUGAGUGGCUAGAGUUCGGGAGAGGAGAGUGGAAUUCCCAGUGUAGAGGUGAAAUUUGUAGAUAUUGGGAAGAACACCGGUGGCGAAGGCGGCUCUCUGGACCGAUACUGACGCUGAGGCGCGAAAGCGUGGGGAGCAAACAGG